Molecule: ribosomal RNA, 253 nt
Filed under: uncultured bacterium
Lineage: Bacteria
Description: partial 16S ribosomal RNA
Rfam family: Bacterial small subunit ribosomal RNA
Source: RNAcentral
UACGGAGGGUGCGAGCGGUAGCCGGGUUUACUGGGCGGAAAGGGCGUGUCGGCGGCUUUCUAAGUCCGGGGCUAAAGACCAGGGCUCAACCCUGGGUUUGCCUUGGAUACUGGAAAGCUCGACGGCUGGAGGGGGCAGCGGAAUUUCCGGAGUAGCGGUGAAAUGCGCAGAUACCGGAAGGAACGCCAAUAGCGAAGGCAGCUGCCUGGACAGUACGUGACGCUGAGGCGCGAAAGCGUGGGGAGCAAACCGG